RNAcentral lists this ribosomal RNA (450 nucleotides) under uncultured bacterium. RNAcentral describes it as "bacterial SSU rRNA". It matches the Rfam family "Bacterial small subunit ribosomal RNA", at positions 355 to 796 of the family's 1533-position model. The record is from RNAcentral.
UAGGGAAUAUUGCUCAAUGGGGGAAACCCUGAAGCAGCAACGCCGCGUGAGUGAUGAAGGCCUUCGGGUCGUAAAGCUCUGUUGUACGGGACGAAUGCGCGUAUGGCUAACAUCCAUGCGCAGUGACAGUACUGUAUAAGAAAGGACCGGCUAACUUCGUGCCAGCAGCCGCGGUAAGACGGGGGGUCCUAGCGUUGUUCGGAAUCAUUGGGCGUAAAGCGUGUGCAGGUGGUUUUGUAAGUUAGAUGUGAAAGCCUUGGGCUUAACCCAAGAAGUGCAUUUAAAACUACAAAACUUGAGUAUGGAAGAGGGUCGUGGAAUUCCAGGUGUAGUGGUGAAAUACGUAGAUAUCUGGAGGAACACCGGUGGCGAAGGCGGCGACCUGGUCCUAUACUGACACUCAUACACGAAAGCGUGGGGAUCAAACAGGAUUAGAUACCCGCGUAGUCC